ACGGGAGGCAGCAGUGGGGAAUAUUGGACAAUGGGGGAAACCCUGAUCCAGCGACGCCGCGUGAGUGAAGAAGUAUUUCGGUAUGUAAAGCUCUAUCAGCGAGGAAGAAAAUGACGGUACUUGACCAAGAAGCCCCGGCUAACUACGUGCCAGCAGCCGCGGUAAUACGUAGGGGGCAAGCGUUAUCCGGAUUUACUGGGUGUAAAGGGAGCGUAGACGGCAAUGUAAGUCUGAAGUGAAAGCCCCGGGCUCAACCCGGGAACUGCUUUGGAAACUGUAUAGCUAGAGUGCAGGAGAGGUAAGUGGAAUUCCUAGUGUAGCGGUGAAAUGCGUAGAUAUUAGGAGGAACACCAGUGGCGAAGGCGGCUUACUGGACUGUAACUGACGUUGAGGCUCGAAAGCGUGGGGAGCAAACAGGAUUAGAUACCCUGGUA
This 434-nucleotide ribosomal RNA is filed under the name uncultured Clostridium sp. Its description in RNAcentral is "partial 16S ribosomal RNA". It matches the Rfam family "Bacterial small subunit ribosomal RNA", at positions 341 to 792 of the family's 1533-position model. The record is from RNAcentral. Lineage: Bacteria; Bacillati; Bacillota; Clostridia; Eubacteriales; Clostridiaceae.